Molecule: unclassified non-coding RNA, 210 nt
Filed under: Polistes fuscatus (common paper wasp)
Lineage: Eukaryota; Metazoa; Arthropoda; Insecta; Hymenoptera; Vespidae
Description: protein rolling stone-like, transcript variant X2
Source: RNAcentral
UCAGAUGCUUUCUAAGAUCGAACAGGUUGAUAAACUCAUCGAUCAAAUAUUCUACCGUCAGCAUACGAUCAAGGAACUGGAUAUACUUUUGUAUAUACUUCUUAGACCUUCAGUUAUUGGUGUCGCCAAGCAAUGUUAAACAAAUUCUGGAAUUAUGAAGUAUUACGAAAGUAUUUUAACACAAAAACCGAACCACCUCACGUCCAAUUG